This is a non-coding RNA of Xyrichtys novacula (pearly razorfish), 273 nucleotides long. NCBI's taxonomy places the organism in Eukaryota, Metazoa, Chordata, Actinopteri, Labriformes, Labridae. The record is from the annotation of a GenBank genome assembly.
AAAUCCCUUAAGGGCAGUAAUAACACGCAUGGAAAUCAAUGCAGCUGGAAUUGAUGUUCACCAGGAGAACCUGCGUUGUUGACCGGAAAAAUCCCCGAUGAGAUCUCUGCGUCUCUGCGUCUGACGACUGAAACGUUUCUGGAUCAGGGCGCAGAAAUGUGUCGGCAGGCGGAGUUCGUGUGCGUCGGUGUCGCCGCUGCCUGGCAGAGAUUUCAUCGUGAACAUGAUCUGGGCUGAAGAUCUGCAGCUGAUGUUGAUGAUCUCUGUCACUGG